UCACUGUUCCUUAGGAUUGACUUUGGGCUUUUCCUGUGCCCAACUUAGGUGGAGGGCGAAGAAGGCCUCCUUCCGGGGGUGCUCGAGCCAUUAGUGAGAUACCACUCUAGAAAAGCUAAAAUUCUAACAUUGUGUAAGGACCUAUAGGUGAAUGGAUAGUUUUAUGUGGAUAGUUUCUAUGGGGUUUAUGCCUCCCAAAAGCUAACAGAGGUGUGUAAAGGUUUCUUCGGGCUAGACGAAGAUUGACCCUCGAGUGCAAGGGCAGAAGGGAGCUUGACUACAAGAACCACCCGUCGAGCGGGGACUAACAAUGCCAAGUGGAAGGGUGGUCGCUCAAUAUAUUAA
Molecule: non-coding RNA, 345 nt
Organism: Lupinus angustifolius (narrow-leaved blue lupine)
Lineage: Eukaryota; Viridiplantae; Streptophyta; Magnoliopsida; Fabales; Fabaceae
Source: Rfam